This 750-nucleotide ribosomal RNA is filed under the name uncultured bacterium. Its description in RNAcentral is "bacterial SSU rRNA". It matches the Rfam family "Bacterial small subunit ribosomal RNA", at positions 44 to 789 of the family's 1533-position model. The record is from RNAcentral.
AAGCAAAACAUGGCAGUCGAACGAGAGACCUUCGGGUCUCUAGUGGCGAACGGGUGAGUAACACGUAGGGAACCUGCCCGCGCACCGGGAAUACGCUCUGGAAACGGAGAACAAAUCCCGAUGUACAGGAAGGAGGCAUCUUCUUUCUGUGAAACAUCCUUUAGGGGAUGGGGCGCGGAUGGACCUGCGGUGCAUUAGUUGGUUGGCGGGGUAAAGGCCCACCAAGACGAUGAUGCAUAGCCGGCCUGAGAGGGCGGACGGCCACAUUGGGACUGAGACACGGCCCAGACUCCUGCGGGAGGCAGCAGUAGGGAAUUUUCGUCAAUGGGCGCAAGCCUGAACGAGCGAUGCCGCGUGAGUGAAGAAGGCCUUCGGGUCGUAAAGCUCUGUUGCGGGGGAAAAAAGGCAGCAUCAGGAAAUGGGUGCUGACUGAUGGUGCCCCGCCAGAAAGUCACGGCUAACUACGUGCCAGCAGCCGCGGUAAUACGUAGGUGGCGAGCGUUAUCCGGAAUGAUUGGGCGUAAAGGGUGCGCAGGCGGUCCUGCAAGUCUGGAGUGAAACGCAUGAGCUCAACUCAUGCAUGGCUUUGGAAACUGGAGGACUGGAGAGCAGGAGAGGGCGGUGGAACUCCAUGUGUAGCGGUAAAAUGCGUAGAUAUAUGGAAGGACACCAGUGGCGAAGGCGGCCGCCUGGCCUGUUGCUGACGCUGAGGCACGAAAGCGUGGGGAGCANAUAGGAUUAGAUACCCUA